UGGAAUUCUUAAUAUGGAUGAAUAUUCUAGAAAAUUCUUCGUUCAGGAACAAAUAUAGCAUUUUUUAGUUUUGCUUAAGAUAAUUUUUUUUACACACAAAUUUUGAUUUUAAUGGUUAAGAUGCAAAAUUAGAUUUAUGGUUUUGGCCAAAAAUACAAUAUAUGGUUUUACAAGUUUAUUUUUACAGUGUGUACAUGUGAAUUAUUGCACAAGUUGAAUUGUGUACAUAUGAAUUGAAGUACACGUGGAUAGUAAAUUUGGUGUACAUAUCUAUAUACAAACACCAUUACAAUAAUGUACACAAAAAUAAUUCAUACUUCAAUAAUGUACAUAUGAAUUGAAGUAACGUGGAUAGUAAAUUUUGUGUACAAAGUGUUGUGUACAUAUAUCUACAUACAAACAUCAUUACAAUAAUGUACACAAAAAUGAUUCAUACUUCAAUAAUGUACAUUUGAAUUGAAGUACACGUAGAUAGCAAAUUUUGUGUACAUAGUAUUGUAUACAUAUAUCUACAUACAAACAUCAUUACAAUAAUGUACGCAAAAAUAAUUCAUACUUCAAUAAUGUACAUAUGAAUUGAAGUACACGUGAUAGUAAAUUUUGUGUACAUAGUGUCGUGUACAUAUGUCUACAUACUUUAAGGGCGAAACGAGCAAAAAACAAAAACUUAACAAUUGUUGCUCUCUAGUUUUCACUCUGCUACGAGAUAAAAAUGAACACUAGAAAUUUGGAAAUAAAAUUAAAAGUCGUUUGGCAACUUCGAAAGUCUAAAAAAUAAAGAUUAAAACACGAAGGACCAAACAUGAAAAUAUCAGAAUCUUGGCCAUUGUUGCUCUCGAGCUCAAACUCUACGACGGAGAGGAUGAGCCACAAGGACUCCAGACGGAAAUUAAGGUGGAUCUAGGGGCUGUAGCGUUUUGCGGUGAUUCUUCGACGAUGAAUGAGGCAAGAGUGAUGCGUAAGUGAUUUGCCGUUACGGUAGGAGCUAGCCGUUAAGGUAGAGCUGAGCAUGGUGGAGUGAUGCGGAGGCGAUGCUUCAACGACGAGUCGGCGGUGAGCAGCAAGUUACAUACCAAACAACACGUUGAGGGGUUAGAAUUCACAAUUUAAAAGUCUGGAUCGCAACUAGAAUUAUGUGGCCACAAAAAAAAAGUAAGGACUUGAAAAUACCAAAGAAAAAGAAAUUAUGAGGCACGUGGUCUUUUGCUCAGAUAAUUAUCUAAUUCAAUUUACUUUCUGCCUCGGGUCCACCACACAAUCCUUUUAAAACAAAAUUCAAAAUCCAACCACACAUAAAUAUCUGUAACCGAAAAAGAAGCGCUUAGUUAAGUUUUUUAAGGGCAAGUUAAGUCUUUUACACCAAAAACUACCUCAGUAUAACAAAGUGACUUAUCUUGUAAUAAAAAGACAGAAACUGCCUCUGGAUGUAAAUCACUCUAUAGAUAAUGAUUCAUAACUACUUAAUCUAGACAUUUCAUUAUUUACUAGAUUUCGUUUAUGAAUUUUGUCUAGUUACAAAGAAAGAAAGAAAGAAAAAAAUUGUUGGUGAAAAAGUGAUAGAUACUAAUAUCAAUACAAUACUAAAAGGGGAAUAAGGGCUCCCCUCAUGCUGUCCACGUCAUCAAUUAUAAUCAGCCAAUCAUAUCCUACAAAUUGUCCACCUCAGAUACAGAUUAUUGUGUUUGUGGGUUUCUAUUUUUAAUUCGGCCUGUUUAACAUUUUGGCCUGUUGAACAUAAACCCAUCAUUUAGGCCUCUUGACUCUGUCUACACUAAUUUCGAUUUGGAAAUCGACUCUCCCCCUUUCGACUUUCUCAUCUUCUAUUCUCUUCUCUCCAUAUCGGUUUCGUAGAUCAGACGAACCACUUCUCCACUAUCUCCUCUAAUCAAACCUUCGUGUAAUCAAAGCUCAUUCAAUGAUUCCCUUUCGUCUUCCCCUCUAUCAAUCUCUCUAUAAAACUCUUUUUUAAUAUUUUUUUCCGAUUAAAAUCCAUAAUAUCCUCUCAAGAGUCUACGGCUAUGGAAUCCACCGGCAAAUCUCCAGUAUCCAGCGAUCCGAAGGCGAACCGGCGAUUUCAGAGGCUAUGAAUAACACUUUGGAGACCCGUUUUGCAGUUCCCGAAGGAACCAUCAGGAAUUGAUCUGAAAUCAAUGUACAUCGAUGGGAGUUUAUUAUUUUAAAACCAGAGCUUUGAUGAACCUUUUGACACAACAGUAUUCGAGUUCCAAUGACGCUGCCAUAAGAGAUCACGAUGUUCAAGUGAGAUUACUAUUUGGAAGAUAGUGGAACUAUGAAGACAUUCUCUGAAGAUGAUAGAUACGAUAAUCUCACACGGAUGUUUCUUGCGACUGCAAGAAUGCAGCUUCCAACGCUCCAUCUUUGGAGAUUGGUCACGUCUAUACUAUGGAGUUGAGCUUCAGGAUACGUUGAUGUUAGGUACAGAUUAUUACCAAACUGAAUCUGGGAUUGUAUCUCUAUUAGCAGAAGGAAAGGUUCCAAUUGGUAUUGGUAGAGAGACAAAGAUCAGGAAAUGCAUAAUAGACAAGAAUGCUAAGAUUGGUAAAAAGGCAUAAGCUUUCCUUGAAUAUCUUCUCGAAGGAUCAUAAUAUUCGAUUUGGAAUUACUUUGGUAGUGGAAAAGGCUAUAAUUCAAGACGGUAAUGUUAUAUAAAGGGAGCUUGAACUGUAGCUAUCUUUGAGGUGCCAAAGCUACAAAGUAGAGUUGGAAGAUGAUUAUCUGUUUUUUUUUUUUGGUUCACAGAUGUUACUAGAUAUGCAAGCCAUGAAGACAAUUCUUCUAGAAAUCCCUUCCCUUGCCAGACUGGUAGCUAUCUUAUCAUUACCAUUUUAUUAUGAUAUUGUAUAUACCAAUUUAGCCUUUUAAAGCUAAAGUUUGUGAUAUCAAUGCGGACUUCAACUGCUGCCAGCUACUCUAAAUUUGUGAGCCGUGAAAUAAGAAGUACUUUAAGGUCAUACUGUCCCCAAUCGAUUCGGUGGUAGACAGUUAUAGUGACCUGUUUCCAGAAGGAACUCCCAUGGAGUUUCAGCGCAUCUUUGAACUCAAGGGUCUUAAGAAAGCUGAUCAGCAGAGCAUAUGUGAUGAUUUCAACAAGCAUGGCCCAAGGUUUACACAGCCCUCUGUUUCAGGGGAAAUGCCACAAGUGGUUCCAACCCACCUGCACUGCCGCUGGUAAUCACUAAUCCGGGUACAACAGCUAGGUUUAUACCAAACAACGAGGAUGUGUUAACAAAGCAGAAGCUCUUUGCAGAGGAGCUGCAACAACUGGCUUUAAUAAUUUCAUUGCACUGAAACUACCAAAGACCUCAAAGAUGGAAGUUUACUUUGAACAGGACAAAUAAGCUUUCUUCACGUGGCUUAAACAAGUGUCAUCAGCGACUGCUGUAAGAGCCUGAAAGCUCCAUCUCCUGAGUUUUCAGAGUACAUCAAACAGAGAAGAUAUGAUCUCCAUGAUGUUCAAGCAUAUGUGAAGUGAAGUUUGUUUCCUUUGUCAAUGAUGUGUUUCUGUGUGUGUCAAAAACCCUUUGUCAAACUCUUAUCCCUAUAACACAAAUAUUCGUUGUAUAUGCUAAAGAUGCCGGUUUUAACAAUGUGAUAUCACUGUAAGACCGUAUUUUAAUCAAGUUUGGCUAAUUUUUUUUAAUUACUAUA
Long non-coding RNA from Brassica napus (rape), 3669 nucleotides. RefSeq lists it as uncharacterized. The record is from RefSeq and is a predicted model, not a curated record. The transcript has 7 exons. NCBI's taxonomy places the organism in Eukaryota, Viridiplantae, Streptophyta, Magnoliopsida, Brassicales, Brassicaceae.